Molecule: long non-coding RNA, 447 nt
Filed under: Monodelphis domestica (gray short-tailed opossum)
Lineage: Eukaryota; Metazoa; Chordata; Mammalia; Didelphimorphia; Didelphidae
Description: lncRNA (ENSMODG00000043731.1)
Source: RNAcentral
AUUUACAGUGGAAAGGAAAUUAGACUGACAGUUUGUGGGGGAAGGGGCCAAGUGGGAGUGGCAGUUGGAUCUUGUGACUAGCACUUCCUGCUGGGAGUGGCAGUUGGGUCUUGUGACUAGCACUUCCUUCCUGCCGGGUGGAACUUGCUGCCUGGUAUUGGAGGAGAGAGGAGCUUGUUCAGCCUGUCUGGAGUGGCAUGCUCUUCUUGGUUCAGCCUGAAGAUUCAGGCCCAUUCAUCUCUGAAGACUGCUGAGCCAGGAGUCAUGAAGAUCUUAGUUAAAUUCCACUUCAGGACAUUGAUUAGCUGUAUGACCCUAGGUCAGCAUUUCAAUGCAUCGGAAUCAUGGACAACACUUUAGAGUUGAUCAUUCUUAACCUCAUCUUCCUCAACACCUCAUCAUUGGUCACUAUUGUGUAGAUGUGGCAGAAGUGAAUCCCUGCCAGUC